Pseudopipra pipra is the source of this 3512-nucleotide long non-coding RNA. RefSeq lists it as uncharacterized. The transcript has 3 exons. The record is from RefSeq and is a predicted model, not a curated record. NCBI's taxonomy places the organism in Eukaryota, Metazoa, Chordata, Aves, Passeriformes, Pipridae.
GGCAUCCUGCGUGCUUUGGAAAUUCAAGUGUAUUUUAUCUCACAAUAUGUAAUCAACAAUUAACAAUGGAAACACCCUGCUGACUCCCAAAGGAGCAGACUACAAUUUCCUGGUGUUAGUUUGCUAGAUUCAGUAGUCAUCUUACUUAAGUACACAACAUUAAUUAAAGUCCUUAACUUUUUUGUUAAUUUUUUUAAUACGUAUUUAAUAUCACCUGCUAGGGAGUCCGAAGGUACUGUACAGAACUGGUAGGUAACAUCAAGCACGUAACUAUAUAAAUAGCAAGUACUUAAUUAUUAAUAUUCAACAUUAAGAUGUACAGUCCUGGCUAGUUUAUAAAGACUGUUUUAUUUCAUCAAGCAUAUUGGUUCUUUGCUGCAGUCUCUGAAUUUUAUUAACUUAGGUACGCAGAGUUGAGACUGUCCUUGAAAUAGCGGCUAUUAUAUACAGAUGUCAUGCUCCUAUAGUCGUCUCUCCUAACAUCAUCUUCCAGUUGGUUUCCUCAACUGUUCACGCAUGGUGUGCUAUCACAUUCUUUUUGCAGACACUGAUACAGCACAUCUGCAUGCUCACUGACCCACUUGCUGCCAUUUAAGGUCCUGUUUAAAGUAAUUUCUCCCAAGUGAGUGAGUUUGUACUGAGACAUAUCCUGUUUCUUCUAAGCCAGCAUCUAUUCUCACAGGAUUGUCAUGUAAAACAGUUGCUCCCUUAUUCAUGUUUUAGCUAAAUCAGAACUGAUUAUCAAUUAUUAAUAUGUAAGUGCACAUAAAUAUUAAUGUUGGCUGCUACUCCACAACUGUUACUGAUGGGAAAGUCAGUGGGGCAACUAAGAUAAAGGUAUGUUUUUUCAUGGGACUGUUGUGCUUUUUCAAAGAAGGAUGUCAGGUACUGCAAACCAGAUUUACACCAGAUCAGCACUACCCUUCUUGACUUACUGAAAUGGUAUCACAGAGAUGUAGAAUUACAUAUUCUUCCAGUAUUUUUACAGAUUUAAAUAUGCUAAGGAUGAACUAAACAGUAAAAAUCCUCACUUGUGUUUUUCAUAGGGGCUGUAAACUGGGCUGCUGCUUUUAAUCUGUAAGGAAAGAAGAAGGGACAGGAGCAGAAAUAGGGCAAGAGGAAAAAAAUGGUGUGUGCCAGUUACUUUGAAAGCUUGUUGCUCCUAGGCCUGCUGGGAAGAUGGGAAUAUUAGGGCAAGUAAUGGCUGGUUUUUGAGGCACUGACUGUCCCAGCAGGAAUAGUUAUCACCUCACACGCUGCCGCCCAUGAGUUGGCAAUACCAGCAGCAGCAGUGAGGCUUUCCAGCCUCUGGCAGAGGAAGACGGAGUGUUGGACUGCAGCCACUUCACAGAUCCCAGCAACCUGCUGUCUUCAGCAACUUUGCCUGUGCCUAGAGAGAAUUGUGCUUCUGAUUGUGGGAAAUGAAAACAUAAAGUGGAAAAAAUUUUAGCUUUUAUCAAUUGUCUCCCAGUUUGCUUGGUGCUGGUAAUUACACUACUGAAAAUUUCUACUUCAUUUGGUAUUGUCUAUAUUGUUACAUUACAUGAUGAUAAUCUAGUGUUCUCUCAAAUACUUGAUAUAUAUAGUAAUUAUUUUGAAGGGCCAAUGACAGGUCUAGCCAAGAAAGAUUUACUGUAUAUAGUGAAAUAUAAAUAUUAAAGGUUUAAUAGAUGUGUGAACAAAAUCCAUAUAUACAUAGAAAAAACUCACCCCCAAACCAAAUGUCUUUUUCUAUUUGAUGAAAUAAUCGGAGAUUAUUUCUUUUUAAUAUUCUGAUUGUGCUCCUAAAGGCCAUAGAUUGCAAAAAGCCACACAGUUACACUCCCUGUAGUAGAUUUGGUUCAGGAAAGCAGAAAACAUUUAUGAAAGACAAUAUCAAUAUUGCAUGUGUAAAAAAUGACCAAUUGCACAUCUAAAUGAGCGUGUAAUUGUAAUUGCACAUGAUUUUAGUUUUGUAGUGGAUGGCACUUAACAGCAAAGUAAUGGGUUUGAGCUGAAAUGAAAGGACUCUUGGGUCAGCCUGAGGGCAGACUUGUAGUUGCAAGAUUAAAAAGCCAUUUUCUCUAUAAUUUGUUAUUCAGUUGUGCAGCCAAAUGUAAUCAGCCUAUUUGCAUAUGUAAUUGUGAUUUAUUUACGAGCACUUUUUUGGGAAACUUUUUUUUUCCUAAAGCCACUUUUAAAGUAAUUUCAUCACAAAGCAAAACCAAACAUUAUUUCCAAUGUUAUAUGCUUUAUUAAGUCAAUCAACAGGACACCGAGAGACAAGAAUGUACUUGUAAAUGUACAUAUGUGCACACAGAAUAUUAUAGUUGUACUUUUGUGAAGUGGCUGCUUUCAGCUAAACUAGUGACUUGUCCUGGGGAGGCAGCCCAGGGAAAGAAUGCAAAAGUUUUUAUCCCCUGAUUGUUCCUAAAGUUGAGCUGUUUAAUAUAUUAAUAUUCUUCUUUCAACAGAUUUGAGAAUUCAGGAUAUUAAUCAUGGGUAUUAAUCUUGUUCUUUUUGACUACAGAAACUGUUGAAUUAAAAAUGGGAAGUUAGUACUGUAUUUGGUGCUUACCACAUGUAACUAGAGGCUCAAAUGUUUAUGAUCAGCAUAUAAUACUACAUACAUUCAUAUAUCAAAUAUAUUUUCUUCACAUACAGAAAUGCUUUCAAGUCUAUCAACUGUCAUGCUUCUCCUGAAUUAGGAUUUUGUAUUUUCCUUUAAAAUUAAUUUUCUGGGAUCAUUAAUUGUAACAGAUUCUCAACAUUUUCCUUUAAUUUCUGAGUUUUUUGAAUGUGGAGAAAAUCUUAACAACAUGGAUCUAAGGCACCAUGCAAGUAUCAAAAAAAUCCCUAAAUGACUGAUAAAAUUAAUUUUAUAAAUAAAUAUAUAAAAGACCUACGAAAACUAAACAUUCAUUAUUUUGGGGGAGGUUCAUCUCUCAUCAUGGAGGGGUGGCAAUACUGAAUUGCAGAGGUUAAUUAUUGCACCUGAACUGAACAGUGCAUUCAGGAUGCACUGAAUAUUCUUAGUAACUGCAGACACUGAACAUCAGCAUUUCAACUGACCCUAUUUUAUAGGUUUUGAAACACCAGCUGCACAUCCUGCUUCUUGAAAGAGAUCCCAGAAGCCACUGGCAGGAAGAUUAAAAGAAGAGGCAGGGGAUGAGCCUUAAACUCCUAAAACAGUUUGGAGCACACACCUAUUCACUGCAUAGAGAUAAUGUGGCUGCUGUGUGUGCUGUCUAAGACUGAGAAUGUAAGAAAAAACAUCAUUCUGUGCUUCACGGUGAAGAACUGCCAUCUCCUGCCAUGUGAACUAGCAUGAGAGAACCAAGAGUUCUACCACAAGUUACAUGAGCUGCACAAAUCACUUCUGACAACCAAGGUAAAUAAAUGCCCUGAAGUUCUGUCACUCAUCAUCUGGACUAUGAACUCCAGAACAGACAGUUUUGUCUCUACUUGCUGCAUCAAGCUAUCAGUGCUUCAGUUGAACAGAAUAUAAAAUGCAAAUAAAACAUUAUUUACUA